GAUGAACGCUGGCGGCGUGCCUAAUACAUGCAAGUCGAGCGAAAGGACGACUAUCUUGCUGUUCUCGUGUUACCAACGGACGGGUAAGUAACACGUAGCUAACCUAUCUCUAUGACAGGACUAACUUCGACAAACCCGAGCAACUACCAGAUACUCCUUUGACACGCAGGGGUCAGGAGUGAAAGACGGUCUGGCUGUCACUUAUAGAUGGAUCCGCGCUGCGUUAGCUAGUUGGUAAGGUAACGGCUUAACAAGGCAACGAUGGAUAGCCGACGUGAGCGGGUGAAGGCGCACACUGGAGCUGAGCCACGGCACAGACUCUUAGGGGAGGCAGCGGUAGGGAAUCUUCCGCAAUGGGCGAAAGCCUGCCGGAGCAACGCCGCGUGAGUGAUGAAGGUCUGCGGAUCGUAAAACGCUGUUAUGAUGGAAGAACAUUUGUGUAAGUAACUGUGCAUAGCGUGACGGUACCUAAUCAGAAAGCCACGGCUAACUACGUG
Molecule: ribosomal RNA, 497 nt
Filed under: uncultured bacterium
Lineage: Bacteria
Description: partial 16S ribosomal RNA
Rfam family: Bacterial small subunit ribosomal RNA
Source: RNAcentral